Long non-coding RNA from Lemur catta (Ring-tailed lemur), 2363 nucleotides. RefSeq lists it as uncharacterized. NCBI's taxonomy places the organism in Eukaryota, Metazoa, Chordata, Mammalia, Primates, Lemuridae. The transcript is spliced from 4 exons. The record is from RefSeq and is a predicted model, not a curated record.
GGGUGCUCGGAGCUGGGCGCCGUUCCCGCGGCGGCUCUGUGGCGCCUGGCGCCGACCCUCGGCGGGGUGCUGCGGCCUCAGUCUCCGCGAAGCGAAACACGGAGCGGGAGCUGCCCUUGGGCUGGGCUUGCGCGGCGCCUCAGGCCCGGGGCGCCCUCGGACGUGCCCCGUUUCUCCGCUUGAGCGCUAUUAAAAGGCGCCGGCCGACCCGGACAGUCACUCUGUGCCCCGCGGAGCAGAGUGCUUGGUGCGCGGGUCCGAGGCGAACCCGAGCUCUGACCGGGCGUGGGAGGCGCGGCCUGCUUGUGGCGGCUGCAGGGCGCCCUCAGGCGUAGUGACCUCGGGAGUGAGAAAGAGAAAGUGGGUUUUUUCGGAUCCCCGUAAACGGCGCAUUUGUAAGGGACAGCAGCAUGUUAAAAGAAGCCUCGCCGGUGUUUACGAGGCAAACUCCACUGAAUCAUCCUUGUUCACGUGCCGUUUUCCUGUGACUCUUCCGACCUCCCCCGACCCCUAAAGCGAAAUGAAUCUGGGUUCCGUAUCUUUGGAGCUCGUUACACUUCCUAGCCGCGGCUGCGAGCGGGGAGCCGGAAGCAGCUGGGGUGCACCUGGCCUGUGCACGGAGCAGGCUGGAAGUGCCAGAGAGGUAACAACCACAGGAACACGGUGAUCCGUGAGUCAUCUCUCCAGGUCCCUGCCAGUCAAGGCACCCUGAGGGUCACCACGCCAGCUUUGCUUCCCAAACACUCUACCGUUCUUACAGUUAGAUCCUGGGCCUGAGGUUGAGCAAAGUCUGUCCUACAACUGCUUCUUAAAAGCUGCCAAAGGAGCCCUGCGGCUUUCACAAUGUCACUGGAACUGGCAGUUGGCUACUCUAAGCCUAUUGUCUUCUUUUUUCAACCAGAAGCUGGACUACUCCACAGUGCUUAAUACUGGCAUUGCCUCCUGUCUUAGUCUGUUUGGGCUGCUAUCAUAAAAUGGCAUAGACUGGGUGGCUUAUAAACAGUGGAAAUUUGUUCCUCACAGUUCUGGAGGCUUAGGAGUCCAAUAUCAGGGUGCCAGCAGAUUCAGUGUCUGGGUUGCCACCUAGUUCAUAGGUGGCACCUUCUCACCGUGAGAUCACAUGAUAGAAGAGAGGAGGGUCUCUCCAGGGCCUCCUUUAUAAGGGCACUAGUCCCAUUCCUGAGGGCAGAGCCCUCAUGACCUAGUCACCUCCCACAGGCCCUCUCCCCUGAUACCAUCAUCUUGGGCAUCUGGAUUUCUACAUACUAAUUUGGGGGAAGUGAGCUCAAACAUUCAGACCAUAGAGCCUCCAUAAAACGUAAGUGCCACAGCUGCUCCUGUCCCCACACAGCAUCUCAGUUAAUCACAGUGAGCCUGAUUAAUUGUGAUGCUGCUGCUUGCAAGAGGUUAUUUGUUCCUCCACUCAGCACCUGCAGUAGUGUUCUUCUUGUGGCCAUGCUGAUUGCUAUGGUCUAAAUGUCUGUGUCGCCCCAAAAUUCAUGAAUCCCUCCUGAAGUGGGAUUAAUACCCAUAUAAAAGAGGCCUAAGAGAGUCCCCUUGCUACUCCCACCAUGAAAGGACACAGCUACAAGGCACUAUCUAUGAACCAGAAAGUAGACCCUCUCCAGACACCAAAUCUGCUGGUGCCUCCAUCUCAGACUUCCCAGCCUCCGGAACCCAGUUUUUGGUAUUCAGUUAUAGCAGCCCGAAUGCACUGAGACCCUGGUGAAUGAUUUAACUUCCAAAUCCCAAUCCUCUUUAAGGGCCUCCUGGUGGUUAGCCUCAGCUCCCUAGAAAGCGAAGCCAGAGGGCUCACGGCAGAGCUGUGUUAAGGAGCACAGUGCCAGGGGGUGGGAAGGAGAGUUGGGGAGCAAAGGAGAGAAGGAGGGAGAGCCAGUGCAAGGCUAUGUAAUUGAGCUGGCUGCCACUAAGUGUGCAGAAUGUCGGGAUCUGUGGGUCCAUGCCCCAAGAACCUGUGUAAACUGGGAAGUGUUUAUCUGCCAGCUACCAUCUCCCAUUGAUCAACGAUUUACCUCACUAGACGUUAACCCUCCGGCACUUCAGGGCUGCACAUACAUCCUUCAUGUCAUUAUUGGUGUGGAAUCCCAGAGCAGGAGAGACAUGCACAGUAGGGGCAGGAGGUGAAGUGCAGUCCAGUCACCUCCCUGACUGCACGAAGCAAUCCAGAGCCCAUGCAGAGCUGGAUUCAGAGCCAGAUGAGACCGUGAGAUGAGAGGGUUUGGAACAGUCGGCAAACACCACCUGCUCCACCUCUUAGAGCCCAAAGGGUUCAUUGCCGUAUCUUAGAUGUGCUGCUGGGAGCGAGAGCUGUAAAGACACUGAAUAAAUGUAAUGACUUCGUG